RNAcentral lists this ribosomal RNA (465 nucleotides) under Vreelandella stevensii. RNAcentral describes it as "partial 16S ribosomal RNA". It matches the Rfam family "Bacterial small subunit ribosomal RNA", at positions 338 to 795 of the family's 1533-position model. The record is from RNAcentral. Lineage: Bacteria; Pseudomonadati; Pseudomonadota; Gammaproteobacteria; Oceanospirillales; Halomonadaceae.
CCUACGGGAGGCUGCAGUGGGGAAUAUUGGACAAUGGGCGAAAGCCUGAUCCAGCCAUGCCGCGUGUGUGAAGAAGGCCUUCGGGUUGUAAAGCACUUUCAGUGGGGAAGAAAGCCUUGGGGCUAAUACCCUCGAGGAAGGACAUCACCCACAGAAGAAGCACCGGCUAACUCCGUGCCAGCAGCCGCGGUAAUACGGAGGGUGCGAGCGUUAAUCGGAAUUACUGGGCGUAAAGCGCGCGUAGGCGGUCUGAUAAGCCGGUUGUGAAAGCCCCGGGCUCAACCUGGGAACGGCAUCCGGAACUGUCAGGCUAGAGUGCAGGAGAGGAAGGUAGAAUUCCCGGUGUAGCGGUGAAAUGCGUAGAGAUCGGGAGGAAUACCAGUGGCGAAGGCGGCCUUCUGGACUGACACUGACGCUGAGGUGCGAAAGCGUGGGUAGCAAACAGGAUUAGACACCCCAGUAGUC